This 806-nucleotide ribosomal RNA is filed under the name uncultured bacterium. RNAcentral's name for it is "bacterial SSU rRNA". It matches the Rfam family "Bacterial small subunit ribosomal RNA", at positions 27 to 857 of the family's 1533-position model. The record is from RNAcentral.
GGAUGAACGCUGGCGGCGUGCCUAACACAUGCAAGUCGAACGGAUGCCUUCGGGCAUUAGUGGCGCACGGGUGAGUAACACGUGGUUGACCUACCCCAAAGUAGGGGAUAACGUUCCGAAAGGAAUGCUAAUACCCUAUAAGCUCCCGUUAUUUAGAAGGACGGGAGAAAAGUUCCGGCGCUUUGGGAGGGGACUGCGAACCAUCAGCUAGUUGGUGUGGUAAAGGCGCACCAAGGCGACGACGGUUAGGGGACCUGAGAGGGUGGCCCCCCACACUGGAACUGAGACACGGUCCAGACUCCUACGGGAGGCAGCAGUGAGGAAUAUUGCACAAUGGGCGCAAGCCUGAUGCAGCGACGCCGCGUGGGUGAUGAAGGCUUUCGGGUCGUAAAGCCCUUUUCUAGAUGACGAGGAAGGACGGUAGUCUAGGAAUAAGUGUCGGCUAACUACGUGCCAGCAGCCGCGGUAAAACGUAGGACACAAGCGUUAUCCGGAGUUACUGGGCGUAAAGGGCGUGUAGGCGGACCUAUAAGUCUAUUCUGAAAGCUCCUGGCUAAACUGGGAGAGGCGAAUGGAGACUGUAGAUCUAGAGUAGGGAAGAGGAAAGUGGAAUUCCGCGUGUAGUGGUGAAAUGCGUAGAGAUGCGGAGGAACACCAGUGGCGAAAGCGACUUUCUGGUCCUUAACUGACGCUGAGGCGCGAAAGCAUGGGGAGCGAACGGGAUUAGAAACCCCGGUAGUCCAUGCCAUAAACGAUGUUCACUAAACGUUCGUUUCCCGCGAGGGAAGUGGGUGUUGAAGCUAACG